AUACGGAGGGUGCAAGCGUUGUUCGGAAUCACUGGGCGUAAAGGGCGCGCAGGCGGUUUGGUAAGUCAGAUGUGAAAGCCCAUGGCUCAACCAUGGAAGUGCAUUUGAAACUGUCAGACUUAAGUACUAGAGGGGAAAGUGGAAUUCCCGGUGUAGAGGUGAAAUUCGUAGAUAUCGGGAGGAAUACCGGUGGCGAAGGCGACUUUCUGGCUAGAUACUGACGCUGAGGCGCGAAAGCGUGGGGAGCAAACAGGAUUAGAUACCCUAGUAGUCC
RNAcentral lists this ribosomal RNA (274 nucleotides) under uncultured bacterium. RNAcentral's name for it is "partial 16S ribosomal RNA". It matches the Rfam family "Bacterial small subunit ribosomal RNA", at positions 523 to 796 of the family's 1533-position model. The record is from RNAcentral.